UGAGUACGAGCUGCUACGGCAGCGAAGUGGGUGAUGUCAUGCUUCCAAGAAAAGCCCUAUACCCGUUAAGGCAUGAUGGCCUGUACCCGAAACCGACACAGGUGGGGUGGUAGAGAAUACCGAGGGGCGCGAGGUAACUCUCUCUAAGGAACUCGGCAAAAUGGCCCCGUAACUUCGGGAGAAGGGGUGCCACCGCAAGGUGGUCGCAGUGAAGAGGCCCAGGCGACUGUUUACCAAAAACACAGGUCUCCGCUAAGUCGCAAGACGAUGUAUGGGGGCUGACGCCUGCCCAGUGCCGGAAGGUUAAGGAAGCUGGUCAGCGUAAGCGAAGCUAGCGACUGAAGCCCCGGUGAACGGCGGCCGUAACUAUAACGGUCCUAAGGUAGCGAAAUUCCUUGUCGGGUAAGUUCCGACCCGCACGAAAGGCGUAACGAUCUGGGCGCUGUCUCGGAGAGAGGCUCGGCGAAAUAGAAUUGUCUGUGAAGAUGCGGACUACGUGCACCCGGACAGAAAGACCCUAUGAAGCUUUACUGUAGCUUGGUAUUGUGCUCGGGCUCGGAAUGCGCAGGAUAGGUGGGAGGCUAUGAACCAUUGCUUGCGGGUGAUGGUGAGCCACUGGUGAGAUACCACUCUUUCCGAGCUAGAGUUCUAACAGCCACCCGUUAUCCGGGGGCUGGACAGUAUCAGGUGGGCAGUUUGACUGGGGCGGUCGCCUCCUAAAAGGUAACGGAGGCGCGCAAAGGUUUGCUCAGGCUGGUUGGAAAUCAGCCGACGAGUGUAAAAGCAGGAGCAAGCUUGACUGUGAGACCUACAAGUCGAACAGGGAGGAAACUCGGCUUUAGUGAUCCGACGGUUCUGCGUGGAAGGGCCGUCGCUCAACGGAUAAAAGUUACUCUAGGAUAACAGGCUGAUCUCCCCUAAGAGUUCACAUCGACGGGGAGGUUUGGCACCUCGAUGUCGGCUCAUCGCAACCUGGGGCUGAAGUCGGUCCCAAGGGUUGGGCUGUUCGCCCAUUAAAGCGGUACGCGAGCUGGGUUCAGAACGUCGUGAGACAGUUCGGUCCAUAUCCGGUGCAUGCGCAGGAAUAUUGAGAGGAUUUCUCCCUAGUACGAGAGGACCGGGAGGAACGCACCUCUGGUGUACCAGUUAUCGUGCCAACGGUAAACGCUGGGUAGCCAUGUGCGGAGAGGAUAACCGCUGAAAGCAUCUAAGUGGGAAGCCCACCUCAAGAUGAGUAUUCCCAUGGGGUAACCCAGUAAGGUCACGGGAAGAACACCCGUUGAUAGGCUCUACGUGGAAGCGCAGUAAUGUGUGAAGCGGAGGAGUACUAAUAGACCGAGGGCUUGACC
RNAcentral lists this ribosomal RNA (1349 nucleotides) under metagenome. RNAcentral describes it as "bacterial LSU rRNA". It matches the Rfam family "Bacterial large subunit ribosomal RNA", at positions 1564 to 2925 of the family's 2925-position model. The record is from RNAcentral.